GCUCAGAUUGAACGCUGGCGGCAGGCCUAACACAUGCAAGUCGAACGGUAGCACAGAGAGCUUGCUCUUGGGUGACGAGUGGCGGACGGGUGAGUAAUGUCUGGGAAACUGCCCGAUGGAGGGGGAUAACUACUGGAAACGGUAGCUAAUACCGCAUAACGUCUUCGGACCAAAGUGGGGGACCUUCGGGCCUCACACCAUCGGAUGUGCCCAGAUGGGAUUAGCUAGUAGGUGGGGUAACGGCUCACCUAGGCGACGAUCCCUAGCUGGUCUGAGAGGAUGACCAGCCACACUGGAACUGAGACACGGUCCAGACUCCUACGGGAGGCAGCAGUGGGGAAUAUUGCACAAUGGGCGCAAGCCUGAUGCAGCCAUGCCGCGUGUAUGAAGAAGGCCUUCGGGUUGUAAAGUACUUUCAGUGGGGAGGAAGGCGAAGAAGUUAAUAACCUUNUCGAUUGACGUUACCCGCAGAAGAAGCACCGGCUAACUCCGUGCC
This 496-nucleotide ribosomal RNA is filed under the name Erwinia sp. RNAcentral's name for it is "bacterial SSU rRNA". It matches the Rfam family "Bacterial small subunit ribosomal RNA", at positions 22 to 509 of the family's 1533-position model. The record is from RNAcentral. Lineage: Bacteria; Pseudomonadati; Pseudomonadota; Gammaproteobacteria; Enterobacterales; Erwiniaceae.